Molecule: long non-coding RNA, 1292 nt
Organism: Callithrix jacchus (white-tufted-ear marmoset)
Lineage: Eukaryota; Metazoa; Chordata; Mammalia; Primates; Cebidae
Source: RefSeq, a predicted model, not a curated record
AGCCCGCUCGGAGGAUCCUGAGAGCAGGGGUUAGCGCGCCCUCUGCCGGAGGACGACAGGCUCCGCGCGCUCUGCUCCCCUCGUCCCUACUUGGCCCGGGGAGGUGAAGUCAGAGGGAGCGGACUGCAGGAGAUGAAGGGGAGCUGCUGCACCUGAACUUUUCCAGUGCAGCCUACACAUAUGUCCUCAUUUAAUCUCCAGCCUCUGUGGAAGAGCUUAGUGGAGAAGCGACUCCGAGAGAAAGGGGGCAAGGAAGGCUGUAAAGGAAAGAAAAGGCGCUAGAGGAGGAGAGUACCCGGGUGACCGCGAGGCCUCUGAGGAAUGGCUGAAGACCAGAUCAUCUACAUGGGGCUGGGAGCGGGUCCCGUGACGGCUCGGUCGCCGACUCCGCGGAGGGAGACUUUGACCAGGCCCUGCCACUCUGCGGGCUCGGUUUCCUCGCCUGUGAAACGGGGUCGAUGACCCUCCUCCCCGCGGCGACUGCUCUUCACCGGUCCGAGCCCAGCCGCCGCCCCCGGGGGAGGGGCCUUGCCCAGCGCGAGCUACGACGGCCGCCGGGGGGCGCACGAGGCCCUGCAGGACCGCGGCUGUGGAGACCGUUCCCGCCGCCCGCCUGGGCUCCAGGGCUGAGGUCCCUGGGGCCUCCGUCUCCUUGCCAGGGAGGGGCACUGACUAGGUGACACGGGACUCGCCGUUUCCCUUCUCUGAGCCUGUAGCAGAUGAUAAUAACAUUUCCCUAGAGGGUCUUGCUUUGUUAAUAGUCACAGAUUACAAAGCACUUGUCCCUUCCCAGCCCCUUUAUGUCCCUUCCCUGUGCAAAACCUGGGAGGCGGCUUAAUAACUAUCCCUGAUCUUCAGGUGACAAAACUCAAGCCCGGAGCAGGGUUGAGAACCAGUCCUGGCCAUGGCCUGAUCACUCAGCCGUUUCCUGCCCCUCAGCUAUCGCUCAGCCAGGGCCCCUGAGCUCCCUCCUGGACCUCCUCUGCAAACCGUUAAGUGCACCCUCUGUACAGUGUAAACCUUACAGUGUAAAGUCCACUCUGAGGGCUGGCCAUGGCGGGUGCGAGGAAGGAGAAACCCCUCUUGGAAAAAGCCUGUGGGAAGGACGCCCAGUAAGAGGGGCAGCUGUGAGCGCAGGUGUGGGGCUAGGGAAGCGCGCCGCCCUGCUGGCCGGAGGGAGCAGGAGCUGAUGCCACCAGGCAAUCCCCAAACCCCGCAAGUCAGUGAGCCAAGUGAAGGCCUUUUAUCCUGCAUCGGCGAUUUAACCCCAUAUAAACGCCAAGUGAACGCUU